RNAcentral lists this ribosomal RNA (460 nucleotides) under uncultured bacterium. RNAcentral's name for it is "partial 16S ribosomal RNA". It matches the Rfam family "Bacterial small subunit ribosomal RNA", at positions 338 to 795 of the family's 1533-position model. The record is from RNAcentral.
CCUACGGGAGGCAGCAGUGAGGAAUAUUGGUCAAUGGACGCAAGUCUGAACCAGCCAAGCCGCGUGAAGGAUGACGGCCCUAAGGUUUGUAAACUUCUUUUAUAUGGGAAUAAAACCUUCCACGUGUGUCUGUUCGUCUGUACCUGACGAAUAAGCAUCGGCUAACUCCGUGCCAGCAGCCGCGGUAAUACGGAGGGUGCGAGCGUUUUCCGGAUUUAUUGGGGUUAAAGGGUGUGUAGGUGGGUUGUUAAGUCAGUGGUGAAAGGCCGGGGGUGAACCCUGUAAGUGCAGUUGAAACUGGCAGUCUUGAGUAGAGGAGAGGUAGGCGGAAUGCGCGGUGUAGCGGUGAAAUGCUUAGAUAUCACGAAGAACUCCGAUUGCGAAGGCAGUUUACCGGACGGCAACUGACGCUGAGGCACGAAAGUGUGGGUAUCAAACAGGAUUAGAUACCCCUGUAGUC